GACGAACCGAGCGAACGUUGUUCGGAAUCACUGGGCUUAAAGGGCGCGUAGGCGGGUGCUCAAGUCCGGGGUGAAAUCCUCCAGCUCAACUGGAGAACUGCCUCGGAUACUGGGUGCCUCGAGGGUGGUAGGGGUAUGCGGAACUAUCGGUGGAGCGGUGAAAUGCGUUGAUAUCGAUAGGAACUCCGGUGGCGAAGGCGGCAUACUGGACCACAUCUGACGCUGAGGCACGAAAGCUAGGGGAGCAAACGGG
RNAcentral lists this ribosomal RNA (253 nucleotides) under uncultured bacterium. Its description in RNAcentral is "partial 16S ribosomal RNA". It matches the Rfam family "Bacterial small subunit ribosomal RNA", at positions 524 to 776 of the family's 1533-position model. The record is from RNAcentral.